This 460-nucleotide ribosomal RNA is filed under the name uncultured bacterium. RNAcentral's name for it is "partial 16S ribosomal RNA". It matches the Rfam family "Bacterial small subunit ribosomal RNA", at positions 28 to 507 of the family's 1533-position model. The record is from RNAcentral.
GAUGAACGCUGGCGGCAUGCUUAAUACAUGCAAGUCGGACGGACAGUGGUGUUUUCCGUGGCGGACGGGUGAGUAACGCGUAAGAAGCUGCCCUUGGGAGGGGUACAACAGCUGGAAACGGCUGCUAAUACCCCGUAGGCUGAGGAGCAAAAGCAGGAAUCCGCCCGAGGAGGGGCUCGGGGUGGAUUAGUUAGUGGGUGAGGCAAUAGCUUACCAAGGCGAUGAUGAGUAGCUGAUCUGAGAGGAUGAUCGGCCACAGUGGGACUGGGACACGGCCCAGACUGCGACGGGAGGACGGAGUAGGGAACUACGCGAGACGGCAGUAAGGAUGACGGAGCAACGCGGCAUGGGCGAAGAAGGUCUUCGGGCCGGAAAGUAGUGGUGCUAGGGAUGAACAACUUCUUUAGUAAGAGAAGAGGCAAUGACGGUAUCUGACCAGAAAGCAACGGCUAACUACGUG